CGGAGUCAGAAAGGAAAACGGAGGAAAAGGAGGAGAAAAUGAAGCUGUUUCUGAAUAAACUCUCAUUUAAAACUAUGACAGAAGCGAUGUCUGGUGGCCACAAAUGGCCAAUGACUCAGAAAGGGUUAUGAGAGAAUGCAGGAUGUGCCAGAACUAAGGCUCUAAAUUUCUCCCUGGAGUUGAUGAAAUUCUUCUCAUGCAUCCACAUUGACUUUUUCAGGGGAGCUCGUUUCACAACCUAGGGGCAACAGAGAAAGCGCUAUCCCAGUUCGCAACUAGGUGAACCGGUGGCACACGAAGAUGGACCCCCUCCUGAUGAUCUUAAUGAGUAUGGGGGGAUCUUGUAGAGAAAGGCACUCUCUCAGAAUUUUCUCUAGGUGAUUUCUGGGAUCAGCAAAAACACAGAGUGACUCACAUAUCCUUGCUUUUUGAAACCAUGGGCAUACUUGGAUGCGCAUCCAAAGACAAAUCUGAAUGAAGAUGCUGUCUUCCUAUUUCAUUGCUUUUACUGGGAUGAAUGUUCUUAAAAACCCAAUUAGUUUGUGCAAAAGUAUAUGUAUUCAGUCACUAUUUUCCCUCUGUGAAAUCUCUUUUAAUCUGAGCAAUUAAAAAAAGGAUCUCUCAGGUUAAAAUCUCUUUUAAUCUGAGCAAUCAAAAGCAUAGCAGGCCAUUUUUAUUUUUAUUUUAUUUUGCAAUUGAAAGUAAAUCAGAAUUGAACAGAAGGUGUGUUUUGGAUAAUCAUCUGCAACAGUGAAAAUACAAUAUUUGCAUUGUAAACCACUAUUGUAUUACUGCAAGAUCCCUAGAAGAGGGUUAUCAAGUACCAAGUGUUCACAUGAUAAAUAAAGAGAUGUACUGUAAACCA
Molecule: long non-coding RNA, 865 nt
Organism: Hemicordylus capensis (graceful crag lizard)
Lineage: Eukaryota; Metazoa; Chordata; Lepidosauria; Squamata; Cordylidae
Exons: 4
Source: RefSeq, a predicted model, not a curated record